GGGGGGGGGAGAUCAACCUUUUGUUACUCCAAAAAGAUUUUCCAUUUUUUUUAUUGGGACUUUAAAAAAUGAGCAUGAGACCUGACGAGGAGGUCACGUGACGAGCAGGGUGAGUUGUAUUUAGAAGUCUAGCUAGAUAACAUUGUGGUCAAGUUGUUUUCAUCUGCCUGGAGUUGAUGUCCUCUGCAGUACUUUCUGUUGUUUGGAGGAAGUUCAGUUCAAGAAAUGAAAGCUGUAGGCUAAUGAUCGCUGAUAUUAUCAAUCCCUUGUCACCAUUUUCUAUAUCCUAAAGUACGUUACUCUGUCUCACAUUAUCUUCAUUUAAAACAACAACAACAAGAGUAUUGAUUACCGUGUACUACAUUCUGCGGCUGUGUCCCCAAGUUGCGAUCCAUACGCAAUGUCAAAGUGACACUAAAUGUCUUGCAAAUCUGUAAUUUAGAUGUUUGGUUUUUUUUAGCGAAAUUUGUAACAAUGUCACAUUAUUGCAUUAACUUUGAUUGACAGCGCCCUGGUUAUCCCCCUCCCCACCCUACAGCCCGUUGCUCGUCCAAACUCAGCCCACCCCCCAUGCACAUUGGAGUCAGCAACUAAUGGACGAUAGAUUAAUGACCAGGCAAAACGGAUAUAAAAAAAAAGUUGUAGACUGACCUGAAGCUGUCGAUGUGUCCCGACACCAGCUUGACAAAUACGUUAAUGGUGUCUACGUUUUAAAGUGUCUGUCAUUCUGGUCCUGGCCAUCUUCCCUUCCAUUCCUUUCCCGUUCUUCAAUUUCAUCAAUUAACUUCAGCCUCGACGCAAUGGAUGCCAAUAUAGGAAAUGAUUAUUGUUACAUUUCUUUUUUAAAUAACGCUCUGGAAUGGUGUAAACUAAUUCCAGUACGGAAAUUAAAAAUGAAAAUUUAAAAAAAAAGAAAUAGAACUCGAAAUGUCACCGUCAGAAGUAGGUCAAGUAAUUGAAAUGUAAUAGUUUAUUGUGUCUGUCAAGUCAUGACUUGUCAAAUUUUGUGGAAAAUAAAGACAGCCUUCAUUGAUUGAGGAUCAGUCAGAGGUGCCUCUAACAUUUUUAUGAGGAGGCAGACAGUAUUUUGUCAGAUAAAAGAGUUUAUUGAAUAAUAAGAAACAUGAGUCUACCUCGUUUCAUGUGGUUCAUCUAGUUGGAAAUCAAGUGUUCGUUCAAGAGUGAGAGGGAAAAGUUCAAAUACAUUCUCAUUGAAGCAUCCAUUACAGGGAAUAUGUAGGGCCAAAAUAAUUCGUCGUUUUUCUCAUUGUUAAGUGUAUAGUAAUGGCAACCACGUGACAUUUUGAAAGCCAGGCUUCAGGUUCUCUUUAAUGAAGUUUUUGACUUUGCCAUGAGCAAGUCCGCUAACCCAUAGGUCUUGAGCAAGUGUUUUAGACAAUGGUACAGUGUUUCACUUUGUUUCAAUGUCGCGAUGACAUCUCAUAGUCCCUGCACACUUCCUUCAGUCUGUUACUUGCACACAGUUUCAUCUUUUAUAACGUAAGCAUUUGUCUUGUUCAGGUGAAGAAGUCUGGAAUGGGUUCAUUCAUCCACUUUAAGUAGACGCCAGUGAACGCAAAAAGCGCUAAUGAGGUAACGCCUGUAAAUAUACUGAGGACUCAAAAUCUCAGGGUUUUGUUUGGAUGAGAAUAGUGAAUGGUCUGGAUUGGAAAUGCUUAUACUCAAGUUUAUUUACUUGUUGUUUCUAUUUUAUUUAUUUUGAUUCUAAUGUGUUUAACAAAGUGCACGCUAAUGAUUCUAGGAUUGUACAAAUGUAAAGAGUUGAUCAAUAGUUCCGUCUGCUGUACACCGGUCACAUAUAAAAGCGUGAGAUAUUGAUUGAUUGGUUUCCAUUUUAUGAUACUCUCCAAUAUUUAUCUUUGUCUGAUUAGUAUUUGUCUGAUUUGUAUUUGUCUGAUUUCUAUUCGUCUGAUUUCUAUUUGUCUGAUUUCUAUUUGUCUGAUUUCUAUUCGUCUGAUUUCUAUUUGUCUGAUUUCUAUUUGUCUGAUUUCUAUUUGUCUGAAUUGUAUUUGUCUGAUUUCUAUUUGCCUGAUUUCUAUUUGUCUGAUUUCUAUUUGUCUGAUUUCUGUUUGUCUGAUUUCUAUUUGUCUGAUUUCUAUUCGUCUGAUUUGUAUUUCUCUGAUUUCUAUUUGUCUGAAUUGUAUUUGUCUGAUUUCUAUUUGCCUGAUUUCUGUUUGUCUGAUUUCUAUUUGUCUGAAUUGUAUUUGUCUGAUUUCUAUUUGCCUGAUUUCUGUUUGUCUGAUUUCUAUUUGUCUGAAUUGUAUUUGUCUGAUUUGUAUUCGUCUGAUUUCUAUUUGUCUGAUUUGAAAACGAAUACGAUCUUCUUAAUACUUGGUGCAAAGUGUGAUUGUUAAGUAUAGGAUGUAUAGAAGUAUAAAGAAAAGUAUAGUAUACUCUUGAAGUAUAGUAUAGAAUAAAAAAAAAAGAUUGAAAAUAUGUACAUGUGUUGUGAAAGACUUUGUGUGGCAGUAAAGUUAGCGAGAUAUUUUUUGUUAUAUGUUUACAAUGUCCUGCCUAGCUACCUCUUAUGUUUAUGUUUCUUGGUUACAUGGCUGUGUAGAAAUAAUUAAAUGUAGAAUUGAAUUACAAGUUUUGGCCACACGACCCACAAUGAGUCAUAUUAAGCACUUUUGAUAACUCCUAGUUUCUAUUGAGAACUGUUUUGUCCAUGCUUGUAGUUAGGCUAGGACUCAAUAUACGGUUUUGUUUCUUGUUCUAUUGUGUGUCAAAGUGAAAUACAUUCAGGAGUUUGUUCUGUACGUUUAAUCAGUCUCAGAUUGACCUUGACAUUUCGCAGCCAGGUUCCAACGAUAAACGUGUACAUUUAGCACCUUUUCAAAACCUCAAAUCGAAUGACUCACAUUACACACGAAUGACUCACAUUACACACUAAUGACUCACAUUACACACUAAUGACUCACAUUACACGCUAAUGACUCACAUUACACACCAAUGAUGAACUGCACAUCUAGACACAUGGUUGGCUUAAAAGUCUUUGCUCUUAGUGCUGUUUAUAACUUUGUUUUCUCUGCUCGUUCUAAAACGUGACGUACUGAAAUCUGAUCCCAAACUUGUGUGACCCAAUAACUCCACGUCCGCGUCAUUGACCAAAUAAUUACACCGACACAUUAAAAUAUCUUUUAAACAUUUUCUAGUUUGCUCCAACCGCUGCAUGGAUUUAAAUAAUGAACUCUCUCCUAUCACCAUGUGUAACAUUUGAACUUCAUCAACAUCAUAGGCCUUACAUUUUUUUUUUAAGUUACACCCCUCCCCCGCCCCAUCCAGCCAACCACUUAUCUCACUUGACCUUGUUGCUCCUGGUACUGGCACUAUUUUGCUUAUAGGUCAAUCCAGUACUACGUUUAGUUUUGCAGGGUUUUUUAUUCAACACCUUGAUCUAGUUCUCAGCUACGAAAUCUAUUCUCUAUAAAAGAAGGAAAAUAAACACAAACUGUUAUUGAACUGAUUUAAGUUUUAUUGUACAGAGAGACUAUGUGUACAAUAUACAAUGUAAUGUACACUAUAUGUAGAUUCUUGUAAAUUAUAUAUGUGUAAUUGUAUUGUUCUUAUCAUGCGACAAUAAACAAAUAUAAGAAUGUGUGUAUUUCCCACAUAAUAUUAUGUUAUUAUGACAAUAAGACAGUCUAGAAUAUUUUCUGAUUACCGUUCGAUUGUUUGAUAAAUAUUGAUCUGUGCUUUUCAUGCUUGUAUUUGAUUGAAACAUUGUAUAGUGUACAUAUUUAUUUCAAUAUUUUCCUAGCCAGCCGAACUGUAUAUAGCAUUCAGAAAAAGUUUGAAAUACACUUUUUUGUGUGUGCACUAUAUUUUUUUUUAUAAAGAUUGAUGUUUAUAUAUCAUGUCCCCGGAACUAUCUGAUAUAGCAAUGUACAAUGUAUGUAGAAUAAGGUCAAAAAAAUAUUAUGAAAAUAAACUUUUCAUUUAAAAAGAAAUAAACUCUAUACUAAACGUAGGACUAUGAAAUAAAGCUAUGUAGUCAGUUAGAAAUGCUUAAAGGCUCAAAACAAAAAGUAUAUUAAAUGUCAUGAAGCCUAAUUCUGUCACUACAUUCGCGUACAUUAUAUCUGUAUGGCUUACUUGGGACUGUUAUGCAAAUGUGAAUCACGUAGACAAGUGAUGAGGGCAGUCGACUGAGACCAUUCAUGGUAGUAGACCUCGACACUGAACUGCGACAUAGCUGACCUGUGAGGUGACAACGGUCUCCACUGUCCCCAGGUCGCGAGGUUGCAGGUCAAUGUUCACGCCUUCCAUAGAUGUUGUUCUCGCGCCAUGAUUCCCCCAACUGGCACCCUCGGUACGCCACUGAACACGUGCUUUUAACUUAGUGACUUAAAGUAAAAUGUGAUUUUGUAACUAUUUUUAAAACUGAAUGAAACGAAUAGUUUGAUUCACUUUUGUUACAAAGUGUUAGCAUAUAAUAAAGUGGGAGGGGCGGCUAAACACUUUUUGAUGCAAGGAAUUGCUGGCAAUAGUCACUAUAUUGGCAAACAAUGAAAACCCUGACCUAAGAGGUUAGUCGUGUGGAGUAAUCAAGAUGUUUACACUGACCUAAGGGAUUGGUCGCAUGCUCUCAGUCAGAUGUUUAGACCGAAACGGCUAGUCCAUGAGUCAAUGUAGUAUUUAAUCACCGCCACUGCUUUAGGUUUGUUAUCAAUAAGACAUGAUCUUAACAGCGCAUAACUUAACGAGCUGCUCUUAGCAGACGAUCCGUGAGUGAGAUGACUUAGUCGAGCAAAAGACAGCAGCAGACGAGAUAACAUACAGAAUUGUGACUUGAAACGGCAGUUGGUACCACGUUUUUCAGAUCUAUUCAUCAAGUUAAUCAAUAAAUCACAGCAAGGUCACACAAGGUCAGAAAUUCUGGAAUAAAUGUAAGAGAAAAGCCACAAACCCUGAAGAUAAGAAAUUUGCAAAUAUCUCUACAAAAUUCGUAUUUUGUUUCAUUAUGACUCACACCUAACAACGGACCAUCUGCUGAAUCUUGCCGCUGCAUCUCCCAAAGUAGAGAGAUAAUAAAAGUUAUUGCAAUAACAAAAGCAAAUGAGGGUUACAACAUCACUAGAUCUAUAUCCUAGCACUCCAGGGAUACAUAAUCACUAGAUCUAUGUCCUAUCACUCCCAGGGAUACAUCAUCACUAGAUCUAUAUCCUAGCACUCCAGGGAUACAUCAUCACUAGAUCUAUAUCCUAGCACUCCCAAGGUUACAUCAUCACUAGAUCUAUAUCCUAGCACUCCAGGGAUACAUAAUCACUAGAUCUAUGUCCUAUCACUCCCAGGGAUACAUCAUCACUAGAUCUAUAUCCUAGCACUCCAGGGAUACAUCAUCACUAGAUCUAUAUCCUAGCACUCCCAAGGUUACAUCAUCACUAGAUCUAUAUCCUAGCACACCUUCGUAGAGUUCUAGUAAAUAGUCAAUCCCUUUGAUACAUUUGAACAUUGUUACCUACACAGACAGGUCGUUGACCUACUGGUGUACCUGUGUUAGUGUUGGCACACCUUGAAAGUGAGCAGUGUACAUUGUGUACUCACUGUGUAGCUACGAGAUGUACAUAUGGUAUGUAUGGCAUUGUCUAUUUGUACAAACAAAUGCGAGACAGCGUUCGUACAAAAGAUGUGCGUGUGUGUUUGUUGUUACUGGGUCAAAUGUGGACAUUGAAACAUUACUUGUUUACAUUUAGUGACUUGAUAGUAAAAAAAAUGUUUCCUUCCUA
Biomphalaria glabrata is the source of this 5750-nucleotide long non-coding RNA. RefSeq lists it as uncharacterized. The transcript is spliced from 2 exons. The record is from RefSeq and is a predicted model, not a curated record. NCBI's taxonomy places the organism in Eukaryota, Metazoa, Mollusca, Gastropoda, Planorbidae.